RNAcentral lists this ribosomal RNA (220 nucleotides) under uncultured bacterium. RNAcentral describes it as "partial 16S ribosomal RNA". It matches the Rfam family "Bacterial small subunit ribosomal RNA", at positions 103 to 334 of the family's 1533-position model. The record is from RNAcentral.
CGGGUGAGUAACACGUGGGCAAUCUACCUUUCGGUGAGGAAUACCGGCGAGAAAUCGCCGACAAUACCGCAUACGCUCGGGCAACCGAGCAAAGUCGCAAGACGCCGGAGGAGGAGCCUGCGCCCGAUUAGCUAGUUGGUGGAGUAAUGGUCUACCAAGGCGACGAUCGGUAGCUGGUCUGAGAGGAUGAUCAGCCACACUGGGAUUGAGAACGGCCCAG